GAUGAACGCUGGCUACAGGCUCAACACAUGCAAGUCGAGGGGAAACGCCGGGGAAGCUUGCUUCCCCGGGCGUCGACCGGCGCACGGGUGAGUAACGCGUAUCCAACCUGCCUCUGACUGAGGGAUAACCCGUCGAAAGUCGGCCUAAUACCUCAUGGCAUCGUCUGCGGGCAUCCAACGACGAUUAAAGAUUUCAUCGGUCAGGGAUGGGGAUGCGUCUGAUUAGCUAGUUGGCGGGGUAACGGCCCACCAAGGCGACGAUCAGUAGGGGUUCUGAGAGGAAGGUCCCCCACAUUGGAACUGAGACACGGUCCAAACUCCUACGGGAGGCAGCAGUGAGGAAUAUUGGUCAAUGGGCGAGAGCCUGAACCAGCCAAGUAGCGUGCAGGAUGACGGCCCUAUGGGUUGUAAACUGCUUUUAUGCGGGGAUAAAGUGAGGGACGUGUCCUUCAUUGCAGGUACCGCAUGAAUAAGGACCGGCUAAUUCCGUG
RNAcentral lists this ribosomal RNA (491 nucleotides) under uncultured bacterium. RNAcentral's name for it is "partial 16S ribosomal RNA". It matches the Rfam family "Bacterial small subunit ribosomal RNA", at positions 28 to 507 of the family's 1533-position model. The record is from RNAcentral.